UAAAACUUUUAACAACGGAUCUCUUGGUUCUGGCAUCGAUGAAGAACGCAGCGAAAUGCGAUAAGUAAUGUGAAUUGCAGAAUUCAGUGAAUCAUCGAAUCUUUGAACGCACAUUGCGCCCUCUGGUAUUCCAGAGGGCAUGCCUGUUCGAGCGUCAUUU
This 160-nucleotide ribosomal RNA is filed under the name Cytospora ceratosperma. Its description in RNAcentral is "5.8S ribosomal RNA". It matches the Rfam family "5.8S ribosomal RNA". From Rfam's summary of the family: 5.8S ribosomal RNA (5.8S rRNA) is a component of the large subunit of the eukaryotic ribosome. It is transcribed by RNA polymerase I as part of the 45S precursor that also contains 18S and 28S rRNA. Functionally, it is thought that 5.8S rRNA may be involved in ribosome translocation. Lineage: Eukaryota; Fungi; Ascomycota; Sordariomycetes; Diaporthales; Cytosporaceae. The record is from RNAcentral.